Molecule: non-coding RNA, 27 nt
Filed under: Mus musculus (house mouse)
Lineage: Eukaryota; Metazoa; Chordata; Mammalia; Rodentia; Muridae
Source: RNAcentral
UUGUUGGGAUGACAUUCCUUACUUGGU